Molecule: non-coding RNA, 147 nt
Filed under: Gorilla gorilla gorilla (western lowland gorilla)
Lineage: Eukaryota; Metazoa; Chordata; Mammalia; Primates; Hominidae
Source: Rfam by way of RNAcentral
GCCAGGUGUGGUGGCGUGUACCUGUAAUCCCAGCUACUCAGGGGGCUGAGGCAGGAGGAUUGCUUGAGCCCAGGAGUUGAGGUUGCAGUGAGCUAUGGUGUUGCCACUGCACUCCAGCCUGGGUAACAGAGAGAGACCUUGUCUUAA